CGAACGAAACUUUCUUACACCGAAUGCUUGCAUUCACCGUAAGAAGUUGAGUGGCGGACGGGUGAGUAACACGUGGGUAACCUGCCUAAAAGAAGGGGAUAACACUUGGAAACCAGGUGCUAAUACCGUAUAUCUCUAAGGAUCGCAUGAUUCUUAGAUGAAAGAUGGUUCUGCUAUCGCUUUUAGAUGGACCCGCGGCGUAUUAACUAGUUGGUGGGGUAACGGCCUACCAAGGUGAUGAUACGUAGCCGAACUGAGAGGUUGAUCGGCCGCAUUGGGACUGAGACACGGCCCAAACUCCUACGGGAGGCCAGCAGUAGGGAAUCUUCCACAAUGGACGCAAGUCUGAUGGAGCAACGCCGCGUGAGUGAAGAAGGUCUUCGGAUCGUAAAACUCUGUUGUUAGAGAAGAACACGAGUGAGAGUAACUGUUCAUUCGAUGACGGUAUCUAACCAGCA
RNAcentral lists this ribosomal RNA (458 nucleotides) under uncultured Bacilli bacterium. Its description in RNAcentral is "bacterial SSU rRNA". It matches the Rfam family "Bacterial small subunit ribosomal RNA", at positions 63 to 488 of the family's 1533-position model. Lineage: Bacteria; Bacillati; Bacillota; Bacilli. The record is from RNAcentral.